AACGAACGCUGGCGGCGUGCUUAAGACAUGCAAGUCGAACGGUAAGGCCCCCUUCGGGGGGUACACGAGUGGCGCACGGGUGAGUAACACGUGGGUAAUCUACCUUCAGGUCUGGGACAACUCCGGGAAACUGGAGCUAAUACCGGAUGAGACCACGAGGUCCUCGGACUUCGGCGGGAAAAGAUGGCCUCUCCUUGGAAGCUAUCGCCUGUUGAUGAGCCCGCGCCCAUUAGCUAGUUGGNGAGGUAACGGCUCACCAAGGCGACGAUGGGUAGCUGGUCUGAGGAGGACGACCAGCCACACUGGAACUGAGACACGGUCCAGACUCCUACGGGAGGCAGCAGGUCGGGAAGUUUUGGGACAAUGGGCGAAAGCCUGACCCAGCAACGCCGCGUGAGGGAU
This 402-nucleotide ribosomal RNA is filed under the name uncultured bacterium. RNAcentral's name for it is "bacterial SSU rRNA". It matches the Rfam family "Bacterial small subunit ribosomal RNA", at positions 29 to 409 of the family's 1533-position model. The record is from RNAcentral.